RNAcentral lists this ribosomal RNA (643 nucleotides) under Ganoderma sp. 4 YD-2015. RNAcentral describes it as "eukaryotic LSU rRNA". The stretch from base 244 to 397 matches the Rfam family "5.8S ribosomal RNA". Lineage: Eukaryota; Fungi; Basidiomycota; Agaricomycetes; Polyporales; Polyporaceae. The record is from RNAcentral.
AACAAGGUUUCCGUAGGUGAACCUGCGGAAGGAUCAUUAUCGAGUUCUGACUGGGUUGUAGCUGGCCUUCCGAGGCAUGUGCACGCCCUGCUCAUCCACUCUACACCUGUGCACUUACUGUGGGUUUACGGGUCGUGAAACGGGCUCGUUUAUUCGGGCUUGUUGAGCGCACUUGUUGCCUGCGUUUAUCACAAACUCUAUAAAGUAUCAUAAUGUGUAUUGCGAUGUAACGCAUCUAUAUACAACUUUCAGCAACGGAUCUCUUGGCUCUCGCAUCGAUGAAGAACGCAGCGAAAUGCGAUAAGUAAUGUGAAUUGCAGAAUUCAGUGAAUCAUCGAAUCUUUGAACGCACCUUGCGCUUCUUGGUAUUCCGAGGAGCAUGCCUGUUUGAGUGUCAUGAAAUCUUCAAUCUACAAACUUCUUAUGGAGUUUGUAGGCUUGGACUUGGAGGCUUGUCGGUCCCUUUACAGGUCGGCUCCUCUUAAAUGCAUUAGCUUGGUUCCUUGCGGAUCGGCUUGUCGGUGUGAUAAUGUCUACGCCGCGACCGUGAAGCGUGUUUGGGCGAGCUUCUAACCGUCUCGUUACAGAGACAACUUUUAUGACCUUCUGACCUCAAAUCAGGUAGGACUACCCGCUGAACUUA